Molecule: ribosomal RNA, 536 nt
Filed under: Salmonella enterica
Lineage: Bacteria; Pseudomonadati; Pseudomonadota; Gammaproteobacteria; Enterobacterales; Enterobacteriaceae
Description: bacterial SSU rRNA
Rfam family: Bacterial small subunit ribosomal RNA
Source: RNAcentral
UUUCCAGAGAUGGAUUGGUGCCUUCGGGAACCGUGAGACAGGUGCUGCAUGGCUGUCGUCAGCUCGUGUUGUGAAAUGUUGGGUUAAGUCCCGCAACGAGCGCAACCCUUAUCCUUUGUUGCCAGCGAUUCGGUCGGGAACUCAAAGGAGACUGCCAGUGAUAAACUGGAGGAAGGUGGGGAUGACGUCAAGUCAUCAUGGCCCUUACGACCAGGGCUACACACGUGCUACAAUGGCGCAUACAAAGAGAAGCGACCUCGCGAGAGCAAGCGGACCUCAUAAAGUGCGUCAUAGUCCGGAUUGGAGUCUGCAACUCGACUCCAUGAAGUCGGAAUCGCUAGUAAUCGUGGAUCAGAAUGCCACGGUGAAUACGUUCCCGGGCCUUGUACACACCGCCCGUCACACCAUGGGAGUGGGUUGCAAAAGAAGUAGGUAGCUUAACCUUCGGGAGGGCGCUUACCACUUUGUGAUUCAUGACUGGGGUGAAGUCGUAACAAGGUAACCGUAGGGGAACCUGCGGUUGGAUCACCUCCUUA